This 211-nucleotide unclassified non-coding RNA is filed under the name Hevea brasiliensis (rubber tree). The record is from RNAcentral. Lineage: Eukaryota; Viridiplantae; Streptophyta; Magnoliopsida; Malpighiales; Euphorbiaceae.
AAGGGCUACCGCGUCAUCGUUCCGCAUCUGCGCGGCUACGGCACCACCACGUUUCUCUCCGCCGACACGCCGCGCAACGGCCAGCAGGCGGUGCUGGCGAUGGACAUCAUUGAGUUGAUGAAUGCGCUCAGGAUCGAGAAAGCCGUUGUCGCCGGUUAUGACUGGGGCGCGCGCACCGCCAACAUCCUCGCGGCGCUCUGGCCGGAGCGGG